GACGAACCGUGCAAACGUUAUUCGGAAUCACUGGGCUUAAAGGGCGCGUAGGCGGGCCGCCCGGUCCGGGGUGAAAUCCUCCAGCUCAACUGGAGAAGUGCCUUGGAUACCGGCGGCCUCGAGGGAGGCAGGGGCGUGCGGAACUUCCGGUGGAGCGGUGAAAUGCGUAGAUAUCGGAAGGAACACCGGUGGCGAAAGCGGCGCGCUGGACCUCUUCUGACGCUGAGGCGCGAAAGCCAGGGGAGCAAACGGG
This 253-nucleotide ribosomal RNA is filed under the name uncultured bacterium. RNAcentral describes it as "partial 16S ribosomal RNA". It matches the Rfam family "Bacterial small subunit ribosomal RNA", at positions 524 to 776 of the family's 1533-position model. The record is from RNAcentral.